This 253-nucleotide ribosomal RNA is filed under the name uncultured bacterium. RNAcentral's name for it is "partial 16S ribosomal RNA". It matches the Rfam family "Bacterial small subunit ribosomal RNA", at positions 524 to 776 of the family's 1533-position model. The record is from RNAcentral.
UACGUAGGCAGCAAGCGUUGUUCGGAAUUACUGGGCGUAAAGAGUGCGUAGGUGGUUGGCUAAGUUUGGUGUGAAAUCUCCUGGCUUAACUGGGAGGGUGCGCCGAAAACUGGUCGACUGGAGUGUGGGAGAGGGACGUGGAAUUCCUGGUGUAGCGGUGAAAUGCGUAGAUAUCAGGAGGAACACCUGCGGUGUAGACGGCGUCCUGGACCAUGACUGACACUGAGGCACGAAAGCGUGGGGAGCAAACAGG